This 71-nucleotide transfer RNA is filed under the name Loxodonta africana (African savanna elephant). It matches the Rfam family "tRNA". From Rfam's summary of the family: Transfer RNA (tRNA) molecules are approximately 80 nucleotides in length. Lineage: Eukaryota; Metazoa; Chordata; Mammalia; Proboscidea; Elephantidae. The record is from Rfam by way of RNAcentral.
GCAGUGGUGGUUCAAUGGUCAAAUUCUCGCCUUCCAUGCGGGAGACACGGGUUCAAUUCCUGGCUGAUGCA